This 2222-nucleotide long non-coding RNA is filed under the name Homo sapiens (human). RNAcentral describes it as "non-protein coding DNAJC27-AS1:3". Lineage: Eukaryota; Metazoa; Chordata; Mammalia; Primates; Hominidae. The record is from RNAcentral.
GCGAUGCUAGCGCGGGGCUGCUGACGUCAUCUGCAGGCCCUGGAGACGCGACUGCAGUUACCGAGUUUCUAAGGCCUCGUCCCCUGACGGGAAGGCGGCGUUGGGGGGCGGCUGGGUUUACCCUUCGAGAUCUCUGAUGGAUUUGUUGACUCCUCUGUGGGAGAAAGGCUUGGUCUACUGCAGGUGUUAACGCUAAGCCAGGCUGGAGCUGUGGACGUCAGUUUCCUCAGCUCCCCGCUGUUCGCUUCGAACGUGACCUCGACGUCUGCUCUCCCCUUCCCUUUAGCUGACAAUGUGACAGUGCUUGAAUAAAAGUCAGUCUGACAGGAACGGUAAUUUUUUUUCAGUGAAUAUCUUCAGUUACAGAAGAUAAAUAGAACUUGACAAUGAUUAUUUAUAGUGCCCUGAAAAAAAAUGGCUGCCAAUUUCCCUGUAUAUUACAAAGACAAAAGUAGCAUUGCUUCUUUUCUCACCUAACUUUAAACAUCUUAAGGGAAGUGCAUUACAGGAAGGCAAUGAGCAAAGGCUCAACAUUUCACAGUAAAGUCAGAUUUUCCACAUUUUAAUUUUAAAAUGUGUUUUUUAAACAUUAAGUUUUUUUUAAGACAAGUUUAUUCUGGAUUGUUUUGAUAAUCAAAUAAUAUAACUUAAUUCACUGAAGCUUCUAAAAUUAUUUACAAAUAUGAAAUAUAAGUCCUGGUUAGAAUUUGGAUAGUUUUAAAGCUUAAAAGAAUCCACAUGCUAACUUCUCAGUAUGAUUUAAUAAAUCAAAUUACUAAACAUGUAAUUUCUUCGACAGUUCACCUUUGGCCCUGUAAUAGGGUAACUGGUAUUGUGGAAGAAUAAUUAUAAAAUGUCAAAUCUUCAGCUGUUAUGAUUGAUUAAGUAUGGUGCUGUUGAGACUAAGCAGUAAAACAUGCCACAGAUUUAAAUUGAUUACUAUUUUUUUCAUAUUGAUGGGGUUUUUUUUGUUUUUGUUUUUGUUUUUGAGACAGAGUUUCCCUCUUGUUGCCCAGGCUAGAGUGCAGUGGCACAAUCUCUGCUCACUGCAACCCCUGUGUCCCGGGUUCAAGCAAUUCACCUGCCUCAGCCACCCGAGUAGCUGGGAUUACAGGCACCCACCGGUAUACGCAGAUAAUUUUUGUAUUUUUAGUAGAGACGGGGUUUCACCAUAUUGGCCAGGCUGGUCUCGAACUCCUGACCUCAGGUGACCCUCCUGCCUUUGCCUCCCAAAGUGUUGGGAUUACAGGCAUGAGCCACAGCGUCCGGCCCAUAUUGAUGCUUUUGACACUUUAUUGUAUAUAGCUACAUUUUCUACUGUGUGUAUUAAAUUAGUUUGGAAUCGAAAGAGCAAGAAAGUUGUUUUUUUUCCCCCACUCUUUGAAUAUAAAAAAAUAAAAAUCAGCACGAGUUAGCUGCUUUUUCCAUAGUAUGGACCUGGGAGGUAUAGUGUGAGCAUGGAUUCUGGAGCCAGCCCGAUACACUUAAUCUUGGCAUAUGUUGUAGGCAUGAGGUGGUGAUAAGGAUUGUAGGAGAUAAUGCACAGGAAGUACGUAGUAGUCUCCCAGCAAACAGCAGCCACAUGCUCUCAUUUGCUCAUACUUUUUUAUGUGUUAAGAAAAAUCCUACAUCUUUUUAAUGUGUAUUUUUAGAAAGUAAAUUAUGAAAUAUUUAGGACAUACUUAAAGGUAUAAAGUAUAAUGGAAUGAAUAGCCAUGUAUCCCCCACCCAAUUUAAGAAAUAAAAUAUCACCACUGGGCAUGGUAGCCCACCCCAUAAUCCCAGCACCUUGGGAGGCCAAGGCCAGUGGAUCAUUUGAGCCCAGGAGUUUGAGAUCAGCCUGGGCAACAUGGCAGAACCCUGUCUCUACGAAAAAAAAAGCCGUUGUGGUAGCCCAAGCCUGUAGUCCCAGCCACGCGGGAGGCUGAGGUUGGAGAAUCACCUGAGCCUGGGAGGUUGAGGCCACAGUGAGCUGUGGUCGUGCCACUGCACUCCAGCCUGGGCAACAAAGUUGGACCCUGUCUCUAAAUAAAUAAAUGAAACAAGAAAACAUCACUGAUACUGUGCGUAGCCUUUCCCAAUACAUCCCUCUUCCCUCUCUACAAACAGUUGCAACAAUCUGAAUGCUGCUUUAAUUUCCAGGCAUUUAAAAUUGUUUUACUAUAUAUGAAUAUAUACCUUAAAAUGUAGUAUUGCAUUUCAUCUUUCAAAACUGUUUUGAA